RNAcentral lists this ribosomal RNA (497 nucleotides) under uncultured bacterium. RNAcentral describes it as "partial 16S ribosomal RNA". It matches the Rfam family "Bacterial small subunit ribosomal RNA", at positions 28 to 507 of the family's 1533-position model. The record is from RNAcentral.
GAUGAACGCUGGCGGCGUGCCUAAUACAUGCAAGUCGAGCGAACGGACGAGAAGCUUGCUUUUCUGAUGUUAGCGGCGGACGGGUGAGUAACACGUGGAUAACCUACCUAUAAGACUGGGAUAACUUCGGGAAACCGGGGCUAAUACCGGAUAAUAUUUUGAACCGCAUGGUUCAAAAGUGAAAGCCGGUCUUGCUGUCCCUUAUAGAUGGAUCCGCGCUGCAUUAGCUAGUUGGUAAGGUAACGGCUUACCAAGGCGACGAUGCAUAGCCGACCUGGGAGGGUGAUCGGCCACAGUGGAACUGAGACGCGGUCCAGACUCCGACGGGAGGCCGCAGUAGGGAAUCUUCCGCAAUGGGGGGAAGCCUGACGGAGCAACGCCACGUGAGUGAUGAAGGUCUUCGGAUCGUAAAACUCUGUUAUUAGGGAAGAACAUAUGUGUAAGUAACUGUGCACAUCUUGACGGUACCUAAUCAGAAAGCCACGGCUAACUACGUG